GUGACUCUUUAAUGGGAUCAGCAAUCCAAGGAAGAGAAGGAAACAGCAGGGGAGAAAUGGACCUGAAGCUUACCCUUUUCACCACUGUGCCUUUUGAAGUUUCUCCUUCCCACAAUUCUGCUAAAAAGUUCUCUUCAAGCACACUCCAUCCAGAAUCAACAACAUAAUUCAGCCCAUUUCCAGUGCAAAAAGGCCAAGAAUAUGAGGAUAAUUCUUGGCUACUGCAGAAGGAAGAUUAUGCCUAGGACUAAGAUUCAUCCUAGUGUUCUUUUCUAUUUUUAUUGAUAAGCCUUUUUGAGGAAAGGGCAGGCCCAGGAAAUUGUGCUCUAGUUAAAGCCAGCAGAAAUAAUGUUUUAUAGACUUUCUAGCUAUACAACAGUGUUUUAGCUGGUUUUUAUCAGUUAUAUAUCAAUGAAUUUCUAAGUACUUCAACUUGUCUACUUUCAGGUGUCCUUCUCCUACACAUCUCAAAUUUUAGGGCCAGCUGCAUCUUCAUUUGAUCGGUUUCCAGCGGGAUCUUGCAAGAAUGCCUAUUUAAUCUUGCUUAUACUAACGAAAAUGGUGAAUUGUUCUCUUGGAUAUGGGAAGGUUCCAAAAUAAUGUUAAAGCAAGCUACAAUAAUUCA
Long non-coding RNA from Podarcis raffonei (Aeolian wall lizard), 625 nucleotides. RefSeq lists it as uncharacterized. The transcript has 2 exons. Lineage: Eukaryota; Metazoa; Chordata; Lepidosauria; Squamata; Lacertidae. The record is from RefSeq and is a predicted model, not a curated record.